This 73-nucleotide transfer RNA is filed under the name Camelus bactrianus (Bactrian camel). It matches the Rfam family "tRNA". From Rfam's summary of the family: Transfer RNA (tRNA) molecules are approximately 80 nucleotides in length. Their secondary structure includes four short double-helical elements and three loops (D, anti-codon, and T loops). RNAcentral also lists the same sequence under 2 other names. Lineage: Eukaryota; Metazoa; Chordata; Mammalia; Artiodactyla; Camelidae. The record is from Rfam by way of RNAcentral.
GAGGGUAUAGCUCAAGUGGUAGAGCGCAUGCUUAGCAUGCAUGAGGUCCUGGGUUCGAUCCCCAGGACCUCCA